This is a long non-coding RNA of Cyprinus carpio carpio, 1291 nucleotides long. The record is from Ensembl. Lineage: Eukaryota; Metazoa; Chordata; Actinopteri; Cypriniformes; Cyprinidae.
CCCCUCCCAACCCCGAUUCAGUGUCAUUUCUGUCAUGCAUUUCCUGUGCAAACAAAAUAUGAGGUAGGCCUACAAACGGACAUGAGAGUGGCAUAACGUCAGCCGCAGAUCUAUGAUACCGGAGGAACUGCGUCGUUCCGUCGCAGGGCCGCGGCGAUCCCGUCAUCCAUCAGUGCAUGGAUUUUAACGAAAGAGCGAUGGCCUGACGUCCGGUGUUUACGCCGCUCGUUUCAGCUUUCCACUAACUCUCACCGACUUUAAAUGAAAGCUCAUUUUCACAGACAGCUCAACAUGUCUUUCUGUCAAGAGCCGCAUAUGAGAUUGAACCAGGGGGAUGGACUGGGACUAUAAAACAGCCGGGGACAGAUGCUGGCCGAAUGCUGCUGUUGCAUGCUGUUAUAUAGUUCAUUUACUUCAGCAGGAUAACGUGCUAACAUGCAGCCCUGUUGCUUUUAACACAUGUGGAGCGAAUGGAGGCGACCUGUGGAGGCCACUCGCUGUGAACAGCGGCGUGUGACUGCAAGCAGACAGACUCUGUUGCUGCUGUCAGGUGGAGGGUGAAUAAUGUGCUAACGACUUAAACCAGCGGAGAGCGAGUGUGAGGACGACCGGAGAGCCAGGCGAGAAUGACGUGUUUUGCAGGACCGAGGCAGCAGAAAGAAAGAAAUAAAGAAAGAGAGACGGAAUGACACAAGGAACCGUACUGCGGCGUCGGGUCAGUGCUGCAGCAGAACUUUGAACGCGCUCUCCGGUUCCUCCAGGACACUGCCAGUCAGCGUUGCAACAGAAAGCACGUCAAUCACCUUGUUCGAAGGUUACUGACACUUCAUCAAAGCUGUAGCUCCUGAAGAAGACUUGCCAGCUCGUUUUCUCCUUCCUCUUCUGCAAAAACAUCAUCACAGGAUUCAUUUUGAGGAGAAUUACAAUAAAAGAAGCAAUAUGCAUUAUACAAAUUGAUGCUAUACAGCCUAAAUGGAUAUUGAUCGCACACAGCGAUUAAAGAGGGAAUAAAUCUGAGCAAAUAAAGCAUGCUUUGCUGAGAGAAAGGAUGACAGAGAGCAUCAGUAUGGGAGGUCGAGUACAGAAUCACAAACAGAAACAGCAAUGUUUGACCUCUGACUUCAGGUAACAUUAGAUAUCAGGAUGAUAUCCGGCCUCUGUGUACAGCUUACUGUAUCAUUUUCUCAGUAAAUACCCAUACAACCUACUACAUUUAAGAAAAUGUGAAGUACACACUCCAUCUGCUCUGGUUGUGUGUGUUGUUUAUGGGUCGAAGUCUCAUUUAAUAACC